Long non-coding RNA from Trifolium pratense (red clover), 1197 nucleotides. RefSeq lists it as uncharacterized. The record is from RefSeq and is a predicted model, not a curated record. Lineage: Eukaryota; Viridiplantae; Streptophyta; Magnoliopsida; Fabales; Fabaceae. The transcript is spliced from 2 exons.
AACCCAAAAUCUUAUUGUAGUUAAUAAUAAUUAUCAUUGGCCUAAAGUUAAAUUAAGUUACUAAUUUAAUUAAAACCCAGUUGUUGUAACAUUCUAGCUAAAUAGAUAUUAGUGGCAAGUGCUCUUUUUACUUUUUACUACCAAUUAAAAAAUUUAGUUACAAAUUAUUUAUACUAUAGUAAUUAUUUAACAAAAGAGAGGGUAAUUUAGGUAAUUGGGAUGAACAUGUUAUAAUGGAUAAACAUAACCCAAAUCAGGAUAUUAUUUUUUUUCAUUCAAUUUCUCUCUAUUUUCUCAGGAACUCUCCCGAACCCACACUCUCUCCAUAUCAUGAUUUCAAAAUCUUUCCAAUUCCUCUCUAACACUAAGUACAUGUAAUAUAUUCAUGGAGAAUAAGCUUCUUCCAAUGAGUUAGAGAGUCCAUUGAAAGGAAUUAAAGGCUAAAGCUUCAAGAUUUGGGUUAGUGAAAGGAAAGAGGGUUUGAAACCGACAAGAUUUAAAGAGGUCCAUCGCCAUCUUCAUCUUCAUCUUCAAAUAACUAAGGUACCGUUCGCCACCACGAAGAGAUAAGGUGGUAUAGCCGUUCGCCACAACGAAGAGAUAAUGUGGUAUAUCCGUUCGCCACCACGAAGAGAUAAGGUGGUAUAGCCGUUCGCCACAACGAAGAGAUAAUGUGGUAUAUCCGUUCGCCACCACGAAGAGAUAAGGUGGUAUAGCCGUUCGCCACAACGAAGAGAUAAUGUGGUAUAUUCGUUCACCACUACGAAGAGAUAAGGUGGUAUCCGUUCGCCACAACGAAGAGAUAAUGUGGUUAGUACCGUUCACCACAACGAAGAGACAAUGUGGUUUAUGUCAACAUAGUGGGAAAAGAUAAGUGAUAUUAGAUAUGACAAGCUUAUUAUUAGUUUUAAGUGUAGGUGUGCGUGUAGAACUUCGUAUAUGAUUAACAAGUGGUUCCUGUUAAAGAUUUUAUCAAAUAUUGUUUCCCUUGAUGUUGUAAAAUAGUAUUUUUGGUAUAAGUUUUCAAAGUACGACCGCUUUAGUGUGCAUAAUGAAAUGAAAUAGCUUUAUAUAUUUUGCUGAUAGUUAACCAACACUUAGAGAACUACGUGGCUCUGAUUCCCUAAUUGUUUAGGGAUACGUAGGACCAGGGACCCUCCCUGUCGAGCUAUAAUUUCAGUAACUGUAUAUUUUAAA